GGGGUUAUGGCUCAGUGGUAGAGCACUUGCCUAGCAUGUGUGAGGCACUGGGUUCAAACCUUAGCACCA
Molecule: transfer RNA, 69 nt
Filed under: Ictidomys tridecemlineatus (thirteen-lined ground squirrel)
Lineage: Eukaryota; Metazoa; Chordata; Mammalia; Rodentia; Sciuridae
Description: Spermophilus tridecemlineatus (thirteen-lined ground squirrel) tRNA
Rfam family: tRNA
About the family: Transfer RNA (tRNA) molecules are approximately 80 nucleotides in length. Their secondary structure includes four short double-helical elements and three loops (D, anti-codon, and T loops). Further hydrogen bonds mediate the characteristic L-shaped molecular structure. tRNAs have two regions of fundamental functional importance: the anti-codon, which is responsible for specific mRNA codon recognition, and the 3' end, to which the tRNAs corresponding amino acid is attached (by aminoacyl-tRNA synthetases). tRNAs cope with the degeneracy of the genetic code in two manners: having more than one tRNA (with a specific anti-codon) for a particular amino acid; and 'wobble' base-pairing, i.e. permitting non-standard base-pairing at the 3rd anti-codon position.
Source: Rfam by way of RNAcentral